AGUGAACGCUGGCGGUAGGCCUAACACAUGCAAGUCGAACGGCAGCACAGUAAGAGCUUGCUCUUACGGGUGGCGAGUGGCGGACGGGUGAGGAAUACAUCGGAAUCUACUUUUUCGUGGGGGAUAACGUAGGGAAACUUACGCUAAUACCGCAUACGACCUACGGGUGAAAGCAGGGGAUCUUCGGACCUUGCGCGAGUGAAUGAGCCGAUGUCGGAUUAGCUAGUUGGCGGGGUAAAGGCCCACCAAGGCGACGAUCCGUAGCUGGUCUGAGAGGAUGAUCAGCCACACUGGAACUGAGACACGGUCCAGACUCCUACGGGAGGCAGCAGUGGGGAAUAUUGGACAAUGGGCGCAAGCCUGAUCCAGCCAUACCGCGUGGGUGAAGAAGGCCUUCGGGUUGUAAAGCACUUUUGUUGGGAAAGAAAAGCAGCAGGUUAAUACCCCGCUGUUCUGACGGUACCAAAAGAAUAAGCACCGGCUAACUUCGUG
RNAcentral lists this ribosomal RNA (492 nucleotides) under uncultured bacterium. RNAcentral's name for it is "partial 16S ribosomal RNA". It matches the Rfam family "Bacterial small subunit ribosomal RNA", at positions 29 to 507 of the family's 1533-position model. The record is from RNAcentral.